AUACCCAUGCACCGUUUAUCUGAAGAUAUCUUUUUCAUGAACCAGAAUAGCCAGAAAUAAUAUAGCGCAAGUAACUCUGUUACGAAAAAGGUACAGUCUUGCAAUUUGAACCUCUCCUAACAGCGACAAAUGAUGAUGAUCAGUUUAAGGAUGCGGCGUACCCUGGCUGUAGCUGUGAUAAUUCCGUUGCUGACUCUUCCGGCGUCGUCAACGAGUACCACAACGUCAGAUUCUACGACUGAGGCAUCGCUGAUGCAGCCCCUAGACAUUUCCCGUGCGGAGACUGUAGCCUUGCCCGAGGAUACCAGUGAAGUGACGGACCUUGGUGCUGUCACCUGCUUCCAUAGAUCUGCAAGUUCUGCAGUGGACAUCAGGUGUCCGACGUGAUCCAUCUUGUCUGUUAAUCCUAGCUUCGCUGGAUUUACAUUGUUGAAGAUGCUUGGGAAUCUUGAUUUUCACUUGUACUACGUGCCCAGUAUUGCUGCCCUCAGCUACGCCACAACGCCGUGGUACAAGGUCACGGUGACCUGCAGUGGUCAGAAUCAGAUCACAGGGACAAGGACUAUAAAAGUAGCCAUUCAUGUAGCAGAAACCGUUAUGAUGCCAACGACACUGCAGCCCGAACUACCAUAAACCAUAUAUAUUCAAAUUCACACUUUUAUUUCCUUUUUAAAUUUACUUACGCAUUACAUCAAAGCUAUUACUACCAAUUCGCAGAUGUAUUUACCAAACACAUAAGCUAUAGCUGUUCAUUAUAGCCUUGGUUUAGUGAUCAUAUGUUUAUUAUGUCUUGGAUAGGUCAGAAAAUCGAUGAAGUAAGCCCCGGUUUGUAGCUCUAAGGCCAUACUGUGCAUGUACAUGUAAAAGCUUGAAACGCCCUGGUUACUUUU
This is a long non-coding RNA of Haliotis rubra (blacklip abalone), 890 nucleotides long. RefSeq lists it as uncharacterized. NCBI's taxonomy places the organism in Eukaryota, Metazoa, Mollusca, Gastropoda, Lepetellida, Haliotidae. The transcript is spliced from 4 exons. The record is from RefSeq and is a predicted model, not a curated record.